CCCCUCCCAGUCCUCUCUGUGGUUGGUAGCCUAGGUCACGGGGUGGAGCAGAAAAGGCGGGAUUUUAUUUCCCCUUCAGCAACUCUUUCUUCCCCUCAGUGAGGGAGGUGGAGUGGAGGAGGGUAUACCUCAGUGGGGUUCAACUGGUCCAGAGUAGAGACCUGCCUCCCGACUCCCAAUGCACAACAUGAGACCCAUUUUCACACGUUCAUUUUUCACUUAUACUUAAUGGCGCUAAUAAGGCGCAUUAUCUCGAAAUGGCAAUUCACAGAAGGACAUACAUGGUGUUAUCUUAGCAUCUUCACCUAAUGAAAACUAGCAAGGAACUGCCCCCCCCCCCGCAACCCUCUUUUCUGGUUGCAUGGAGUGGAAUAGGGAUGAUGCAGUAUCCCUGCUCCUAGCUGCAGCCUAACUUCUGCCAAAAAACAAAACAGUAACCCCACUGCCACAACACAUCUAAAAGGGUAUUGCAUGUUAAUCAGCCCAAGGCCUGGUUGAAGAGGGUAGUUUUCUGCCAAGAGAAAAGACCCACUCUCCUGUUGCCACCCUCCAGACUUCUUGUGGGGGAAGCACAAGGGCCUCAAACCAUGAUCCUGUGUCUGGAUAGGUUCAUAUGAAGACAGACAGUCCUUGAGGUAUUUCAGUCCUGAGCCAUUUAAGGCUUUAUAUUUACAGGUCAAAAUCAGCACUUUGAAUUGAGCCCAGAAAUAUUGGCAGCCAGUGCAGCUGAGCCAAGAUCUUUGUAAUAUAUUCAAAUUGUCGUGCCCCAGUGAGCAACCUGUCCACCAAAUUGACAUUCUAUGGCCUUUUAAACGUGUUUGCGGGAGCAGGGCUAUUGGUUUAUUUGUUACCAAGUUACGUAUUUUGGUGUUUUUAUAUUGUGAGCUGCCCUGUGAUCCUUAGAUGCAGGGCUGAAUAGAAAUUUAAUAAAUAACAGAAUGUCUUUACUCCUGACAAAUCUCCCUCACUACAGGCAUAGUACAGUGGGCCAGAAGUAUAUUUCUUAUUGAAAAUGGCUCCUGCUUUGCUGCUGCUACUCUGCAGCACACAUGGAAAUUGAUAAAACAAGUGUUUCAUCAGAAGAAUGUGUUCUAGCCCAGAUAGCGCAUGUAGUGCCCUUUGGUUUGGCCACCCUUAGCUGGAGUUCAACAUGGCAGCAACAGCUUUGCCGCAGUGAAAACCUCCAAUUUUGAUGGCUUUAAAAGAGGAUUGGACAAAUUCAUGGAAGAGAAGGCCACCAGUGGCUACUAGCCAUGAUGGCUAUGCUCUGCCUCCACCGUGGGAGGCAGAAUCCUUCUGAAUACCCAAUGCUGGAAACUGCAGAAAGGGAGAGUGCUCUUGAACUCGGGUCCUGUUUGCAGGUUUCCAACAGGCAACUGGUCUGAGAACUAGGUCUAGUACCUAUAAAAACUGACACAACAAUAAAAUGCUGAGUGAGGUACCACAGGAUGCUUUAUUUUUGCUGCAGCAAACAAGCUUCUUCUUUAACUGUUGCUACUAUGAGACGAGCUAGUAACACCUCUUCAGACAUAUAAAAUAUUAUCCUUGUUCAUUCUUCUCACAGUAAUCCUGCGACAUAGCUGCACACACAAGAACACGGUUGUGUUGAGGAAGUGGCUUGGGUGGAGUAGAUCCUGCCCAACACCCACAUUUCAAAGCAACCCAAACUGGCAAAACUAGCAUGCCUGCAAAAUUAGCAUCUCUAGACAAGUUUCCCAGAAGCUUGGCUGAAUCUUGUGUUGGAGAUGAAAGGUUAGUACCAAAGAUGACUGAUGCAUCUCCAGGAGAAGGGAGUUCUACAAUCUAGGUGCUACCACAGAGCAGGCAGUUUCCUGGGUCACUACACAAUGGGAAACACUCCUUUGUGAGGCCAUGAGAAGGGUAUCCCCUGCUGAUCUUAUUCCCUCCUCCUCCUCCUCAUCUGGUUCUUUCCUCCAGUCAACUUGGCUUGUAUGUCCCUUAUAUAAAGCUUUCAGUUAUGUUGUGCAUUGCCAGCCUAUUGUUACUUUCCCAGGGGCAACAAUUUUCAGACUGAUUGCCUACAAGAGGAGGUUAAGAGAUUUCCAUUUUACCCACUCCAAAAUGGUAAUGCCUGUUCAUGCAGGAGAAUCACUGCACUUAUCAUCCUGAAAUUUGGCAGGCUUCAUCCCCUCAAACAGGGCACCCAUAUCUGCAAAUUGCUUCAAUUCUGGCAGAAAAUAAAAAAGUUAGAGACUAUACACUUAUUUCAUUUUCAGAUGUUCCCUGUAUGAAAGUUGGCAAAUAUUGGUAGCAUUUGGGCCCCAAGACAUUCAGAGUUUUACAAAUUAAUAAAUAGUAAUGCCACAGCGGCUCCCAGGGCAGGUUACAACAAUUCAGAAUGAAAAACAGGUAAAACAGAUUACAGUCACAGGAAUAGGGCAGACUCUGAAAACAAACAUAUUAAGUGCUGGGGUAGAGAGGUGUGCUUUUCAGCAUUUGCCAAAAGCUCUAUAGCAAAAGUACCAAGCACACCUAUGUGGGGAGAUCAUUGGGCCAGCGCCACCCUGAACCUCUGAGGGUGGAAGAACUAUCAAGAGUCAGCUGGCUCGCACCAGAGCACAAGCUGCUUCUUUUUUGGUCUCACACUCUUGUGCAUGCACAAGAGUUCAGAACAAAAAAAAGGAGCACCCUAAUCUGGGUGUUAAGGGACGUGAGUGGUGCUGUGGGUUAAAUCACAGAGCCUAGGACUUGCCGAUCAGAAGGUUGGCGGUUCAAAUCCCCGCGACGGAGUGAGCUCCCGUUGCUUGGUCCCUGCUCCUGCCAACCUAGCAGUUCGAAAGCGCGUCAAAGUGCAAGUAGAUAAAUAGGUACCACUCCGGUGGGAAGGUAAACGGUGUUUCCAUGCGCUGCUCUGGUUCGCCAGAAGUGGCUUAGUCAUGCUAAGUGAGAUGAACACCGCAACCCCAGAGUUGGCCACGAGUGGACCUAAUGGUCAGGGGUCCCUUUACCUUUUAAUUUGGGUUUUGGAGGGUAUGUCCAAAAGAGGCUGCAGCUGGCAAACUAGCCACAGUUGGAUGUAGACACUCCUAGCCACUGAGGCUCCUGGACCACAAAUAACAGCAUUGGAUCUAGGGGUACCCCCAAGCAAUGAACUGCUGCCUCCAAGGGACUGCAACCCCAAACAGAGCAGGCUGUCUUCCCACCUUGUGGACUUGAUAACUUGAAACACGUAACACCUGUCUUCAGGAUUCAGCUUCAAUUUGCUGGUUCACAUCCAGUCCAUCAUUGCCCCCAAACCCGUCUAGCACCUCAGCUGCAUCUCUUGAUUCCUCUGAAUGACAUGCUCUUAUUCAUUCAAACGGCAUGUUUGCCUAAAUGUGAACUAUUUCAAACAGCAACAAUUUCUUCCUUAAUCCCUGUAUUUUUCCAUAUACAUCAAGCUUUCUACCAUCAUUAACCAAGUGCCCUCCUAUUUAGGGACAGAUGGCUUCCGUUACUCCCCCCCCCCCAUGACUGGUAAUUCAGGGCCCAGAUACAAUGAAUGAAAAAAUGUUCUCAGGUCUAGUUUCUGUUUACUUCCCUGGAAUAAAAUCCAUAUGGCCAGUGUUAAUUAUGUUGGCAAGCGCUUCACUGGCAGCACGCUGAGCCAACGAUCAACCUGAUUACAUAAAUAUAUUAGUUGGAAGGCUUCAAAUUUUUAUUAUUUCAAAGACCAGGAAGGUGGACAUUAUGCAGGCUUUCGUUUAAAAGGUUUCCUCUUGUCAAGCAUGCAGAGGCCAAGCCUCUUGUGAAGUCAUUAACCUUUUCUUAUUAACAUACGUGGGCUGCAACUCAGCUUGCAUUCCCCCCGCCAAUCUAAAAUUACAUUUUAAUUUCAUCCUAGAAGGACUGAACAACAUAUUACCUUAGCAAAUGCAAGUUACCAAACCUGUGGUUGCCAAGACACUGUGAAUGAAAAGGGCAGUAAUUGCAAAAGGAGCCAGUGGUGAGAGAAAGAGAUGCCUAACAAUUCCUGCCAAUUCCCUCAUGCAGAUAUCUCCAGAGGUUCCCCCCCCCCACAACCAGCAGUACGUUGCUGCUGUUAUAGUUGAUUUAUUAACUACAUUCUAAACCACUGUCACAAGGUGAUUCACACAUAAAAUAAUUAAAAACAGUUAAUAACACAAAAAAGGCAAAAGAUGCUGUUGUCUUACUUUCGGUGUACCAUAAAGCUCAGUUUAUUUACACAGCACUAUUGUGAAAACAUUGACAGUACAUCCAGCCAACAUCAGAUUUGAUGGCGUAGAAUUAAGAAUGAUAAAAGAGCCAUACAGUGAAGCCACAAUCCUGAAAAUAAAAUCUGAUGUAGAUCAACCUUACCCAACCUGGUGACCUCCAGAUGUUUUAGAUUGUAACUCCUAUCAGACCCAGCCAGCAAGCCUAGCUUAGAUAUUCCUAAACAAUCCAAGCUAAUAGAAGCUCCUUGCCUAAUCCGGAGUAGACACCAUUGAUGGAUUUGACAGUCAGCCACUCUUCUCUACUGGGGAUAUUGGAGCUGUGCCCAAGGAGAGGUCUGGCUAUGUGUGAUUGGCUUCUCUUUCUUCUGCUCAUUUAGACAAACGGGGCAGGGGCAUGGGGGACAGCAUACAAGGGAAACCAUCCGGACCUCUAAUGCUGACCAGACCAAAGUGCUGUCCAGCAUAGAUAGGGGUUUAAAUACUACCCGACUCCUGUGUUUGAGAACUUGGAACCACAGAGAAAUCCAAAGCACCAAAAGAGGCCCUUCAAAUAAUGUCACCCUCUUGCCUCAGGAAGCUGAAGUUAUCUAUCUUCUUUUACAGAUACAGUGUUCUGCUGACCAUGGAUAUUCUACCCAUAGAAUUGGUUGGUUUCCAGUGACACUACACAAGACGCCUUAGUAUUUUCAGCAUUAGAGCAAUGAAGCAUCCUACAUUGGCAUAUAGGGAGCCACCUUAGACUGAGUCAGACCAUUAGCCCAUCUAGCUCAGUAUUGCCAACACUGACUGGCAGGAUUUCAGACAGGAGUCUCUCGUAGUCCUACCUGGUGAGGCAUGCAAAACAGAUGCUCUACCAUUGAACUGUAUGAUGCUUCCCCACGUGCACUGAAGAAGCCACACCCAGGAUGAAAAGCCUCCACAACAAAAGACAAGAGGUAUCUCUUUGUACUGUGGAAAACAACAUUUACUAACAGAAGAGAGUGGAGGUGAAGUCAACCUGCCAAGACCCAAGCCUCUAAGAUGACUAUUUCACCCUGCUGCCAGUGAUGUGUUUGAAAGGAACUUUUGUUUCAGGGAACUGUCCUAACUUGGAAAUGAAAAAAAGAAUUAUGGUCUAGUGCAUAAUCAUCCCUGACCAUUGGCCAUGCAGGCUGGGGCUGAUGGAAGCUGUAGUUCAGCAACACCUGGAGGGCCAAGUUCCCUAUACCUGGUCUAGUGAGAUGCUGCUCCUUCCCCAAAACAGGCCCAGAAGCAGACUUCAGCAUAGUGAUGGGUGUGCGUGAUGGCCAGGCCUAAACUUUGGUCAAGACACCUGUUUAUGUGACAGGAUGAGAGGGGUGGCAAAGAAAAUGAGGUUCUGAGAACAUGCAGGCUGUUCUGUAACCAAAAGGGUAUUGCUUAUGUUGGUGAUUAUGUUUUGGGCUUGUUUUGAAAACACAUUGUACUAUGAGAUCAAGAAGCAUGCUGGUCUGUUUUUUUCUAUAUAAGCUUGGGAUUCUCUGCUUGGGGCAGAGGAGCUUGUAACACUCUGGUGUCAGGCUGCUUCUCCUUGCAUGCUUGAAAUAAAGGAGCCCCAGGCUGUGUUCUGAUUCAAAUACAACAUGUGGCUAUUUUUCCACAACAAUAUAAAAAAAAACCCUUUUCAUCAGAACAGCAGCACCGAGGGAGAGAGGUGCACUAACCUUUUCACCCUGCAGUGUUGUCUUUAUUCAAAAUCCUACCCUUUAGUUCCUAUUAGUGGUUGCUUGGAGAGGGGGGGGGAGAUGCAGGCAAUGGUGCAGGAUUGAAAGGGUUAAACACACUUUUAUCCUUGAUUGGCCACUGCUUUAAAUAAAAGUGAAGGCCCCCACAGUUGCUUUUAAGUACAUGUGUGUCGGGAUGUGUGUGUGUGUGUGUCUGUCAUGUCUAUUUUUGGCUUAGAGGUUUUCCUGUUCUAAAAAGGCACUCUCUCUUCCCAGAGCUAAAAAAAAAAAGUAAAUAGUUCCUAUUCAAUAAAUUAAGACUUAAGAAACCAUUUAAAAAGCAUCAAGUGUAACCAACCAACAGAGAGGGUCAUAUUCUUCUGCUUGGAGCUUGAAUCCAAACAAUAAAUAACAGGUUCAGUACCCUGUGGUUGGAACAGGCAGUUUUGAGAACA
Non-coding RNA from Podarcis lilfordi (Lilford's wall lizard), 6315 nucleotides. Lineage: Eukaryota; Metazoa; Chordata; Lepidosauria; Squamata; Lacertidae. The record is from the annotation of a GenBank genome assembly.